UCAGACCAACCUAUAAAUUAAAUUAAAUCGGUUGACUUUUGUUAAGAAAUGUAUAGUGAUUCAAUUCAAUUUCCUCAUCUUACUAAAAUUACUAAAGAACUUUGGCGAUGGGGCGAAGGCUUACACGGUUUCCUGGUCAAUUUAUUUAAUGGCUUUCCAUCGUUUGCUAUCAUAUUUAAAACGUUAGGAAAAAUUAUUAACGGCAAUGAGUUUGGCAUCAUAUUUGUUUUCCUGUGGACUACUCGAACGUGCAACCGAGAAGAGUGCCUUUGUCAUCAGUGUCAUCUAUAAUAUAAAAAAUGAAUCGCAGAAUGUGUAGGUAAGCGCAUAACUAUACAAAGCCUGAACCAAUUGUA
Long non-coding RNA from Pieris brassicae (large cabbage white), 356 nucleotides. RefSeq lists it as uncharacterized. The transcript is spliced from 2 exons. NCBI's taxonomy places the organism in Eukaryota, Metazoa, Arthropoda, Insecta, Lepidoptera, Pieridae. The record is from RefSeq and is a predicted model, not a curated record.